UGGGGAAUAUUGCACAAUGGAGGGAACUCUGAUGCAGCGACGCCGCGUGAACGAAGAAGGCUUUCGAGUCGUAAAGUUCUUUUAUAUGGGAAGAUAAUGACGGUACCAUAAGAAAAAGCCCCGGCUAACUACGUGCCAGCAGCCGCGGUAAUACGUAGGGGGCUAGCGUUGUCCGGAAUCACUGGGCGUAAAGGGUUCGCAGGCGGAAAUGCAAGUCAGGUGUAAAAGGCAGUAGCUUAACUACUGUAAGCAUUUGAAACUGCAUAUCUUGAGAAGAGUAGAGGUAAGUGGAAUUUUUAGUGUAGCGGUGAAAUGCGUAGAUAUUGGGAGGAACACCAGUAGCGAAGGCGGCUUUCUGGACUGCAACUGACACUGAGGCACGAAAGCGUGGGUAGCAAACAGG
Molecule: ribosomal RNA, 403 nt
Filed under: Verrucomicrobiota bacterium
Lineage: Bacteria; Pseudomonadati; Verrucomicrobiota
Description: Verrucomicrobia bacterium partial 16S ribosomal RNA
Rfam family: Bacterial small subunit ribosomal RNA
Source: RNAcentral